Anas platyrhynchos (mallard) is the source of this 2532-nucleotide non-coding RNA. The record is from RefSeq and is a predicted model, not a curated record. NCBI's taxonomy places the organism in Eukaryota, Metazoa, Chordata, Aves, Anseriformes, Anatidae.
GAAAGCCUGGGAGCCGAGGCAGUAGGAAGAUGGCUGGUGAUGCUCGUGGUCUUGGGCUCAGUGAGCAGGGGAUCUGCAGAGCCCAGAAUCAGCUACAGUGUUCACCAAAUGCAAGCAGACAGCAUGAGGAUCUGCAGUGAAUGUUGUGCACAGGUGCUGCCUUUCACUCCUGCAGCUCAGUUCCACAAAGCUGUUGUCCUGGAGGUCUUCAACAGGAGAUCCGUGUUUUGAAACGUUGCUCACCAACGUAAGGAGGCACCUGUAAUAACAGGCUGUGCCUUGGUUGAGAGCACUUUGCCAGCAUUCCCAAAUCUCCGUAAGUAUGGCUGCUGCUACUCACUUGGAAGAAGGGGAGCUCCUUUUUGGUCAUGCAAAAAGCAUCACCUUUACCACUGUUACCAUGUUGGGUGAGUAAGCGAUUCCCAGUCGUUCCCAGCCAUUUUACACUUUGCACCGCUUUUUAGUCUGGAAAUAUCUACCAGCAGGUAUUACACUCUCUGGCUUGUGUUUCUCUCUUAGCCAUUGUCAAAGCUUUACAGAAGGCAGAGCUGCUUCAUCAAAGCUCUGAGACCAGGCAGCGUUGCUCUGCCCCUUACAAGCCUGACACGGCACCAGCAGCCAGCACCAGCAGGAGCUGCUGAAGGUGGCGAUGGGGCUCGGCAUGGUCGGGGCAGAGCACCCUGCACUGGCCCUGCUCCUGCUGCCCUCGUCCUGCUGCCACCUCACUGCAGCCCCGUUGUGCCCCCGGCUGCAGGCAGCGUGCAGAGCCCCUGCCCUGGGAUCCUGCAGUGGCUACGAGAGAGGCUGGCAGGACGGAGUAAACCGCCGGGAGAUUAUUGCAGCAGUAAUCUCAAAAGUGAGUAUUGAUCCAGUUCCUUGUUGCUGUUCCUGUCAUUUUACUCUAUUUUAACAGUUUCCAAAUACGUGAGAGACAAAAGUAACUGAAAUGUAUACGAAAACAACUUUUUUCCCUAUUGUUGUCGUUGUGAGCAGCGGGAAUGAAUAAGUGAAAAUACAAUUUCAGAGGUUGCAGUGCCUGUAACAAAAUUCUUAUUGUUUUGAUAGAGGUGAGAGUUGCGACUCUAUAGGUAAAACUGAGUUGAAUUUCACACCGCAGACACAUUUGUUUUUCUUCUGAGUUUAAUCUUGACGCAAUUUACUCUAUUUACAGUGGUCAGCCCUAGUGGAAAAGUAUUACAUGUCUCUACAUCGUGUUUCAUUCCAGACAGCAUCUUCACCAUCUGAACUUCAUCCUAUUGUCGUACUCCUCAUAUUAUUUGUAUGCACAUAUUUAUUGAUGCACCUGAAUGUGCGUACUUUGGCUUGAAAAUUCUUCAUUUCACAGGGGAUGGAAAAGAAAUGGCAUGAUCAUUAAGACUGGUGGAAAUCCCUACUGGUGAGAACGUGGUGGUGACUGGUGCCUGGCCGUGCAGGUAGAGAGGAGCCAGCCCCUGUGUCACGCAGCCUGCACGUCGGGAAGCUGCCGGAGGUUACAGCCCUGCAGGAGAUCGUUAUACUGCUCUCCUGUGCUGUAGGUAACUCUAGGGAUAAUUGUAAUUAUCCAGUCCAUUGCUGUAGAUCAAAAGCUGUCAGAUAAGGGUCAGCUCCUCAUAUGCUGCCAGCAAGUGUGCGUCUUGAUCCUUGCUUUUAGAAGCUGUGUGUGCUGCAGCCUGAGGGCUGCAACUCAUCCAUGAGAUAAAGUCCUUUGGCAUCGCCACAAGGUCCGUAUUCAGUCCAUGUCCAGUGAAAUUACCACUUUAUGCGAAUCAACCUAAAACUUAGCUACCCCCUAAUAAAUCUUUGAGUGACCAGAAUAAUCUGGUGUCAGAGAAUGAUUUCACCAAUGGCAAAAUGUUUCACUGUGAAAUUGCAUUAGAUGCAUGAAGGAUCACGGUCUUUAUCAGUGACCGCAUAUUAUCUCUUCCACCCUAUACCCAAACCCGAGAAACUACAAGCAGUUAUUUCACAGAUUUUUAAUGGCCUCUGGGUUUUUACUACAUUGCAAACAUUGAAAAAAAAUCAAUGGGAGCUUUCAUGUAUGCUCUCAGAAAAGGCUACUUGGUGUUCACAGUCCCACAAGUAAACACAUUAACAUGGAGCCAUCACUGUGCACAGAGCUGGAGCAUCUCGGGCACUUUUAGUGCUUAGUUAUCCUUGUUUUCUGAUUAAUUAAGUGGUUGUUUGAAUACUAAUCUCUAUUCAUUAUUUACCAGUAUUGCCAUAAUUUUGGCCCCUGGGUAUAGAAGAUUAAAAUGCCCAGGAAGCAGCAUGAACAGUUAAAGAUACAAGUGGGAACUGGUUUCUUUGUAGGCAUAAUAUGAUUAAAAGCAUUUGUCUUCACCCAUGAUUAAUAAUAAAUCAGGCCUAUUACGAUUACUACUUUAGGUUUUAAUUUUAAACAAACUAUUGAAACAGACUCUAUGCAAAAAAAAUAAAAUAAAUGUUCAUAACAGGCUUUGUUUGGAUUGAAAGCAGAAGUUUUGUACUUUCUCAGAAAUUAAAAAAAUACAGCUGUGUAAAAAUUCAGCCUCA